AUGGGAAACACCAUCGGUUCUGCGUCUUCUUCGGUGAAGCAGGAUGUGCCCGAGACGUGGUCGACGAGUUUUACGGAGGGCGACACCGCGGCGCACAAUUUUGAGGUGACGGGCUUCUCGCUGCUAGACGGCAUGGGCGCCGGCAACUUUGUCUCGUCGAGCACAUUCUUCGUCGGCGGCUGCGAGUGGGACAUCACGUUCUACCCCGACGGGUGGAAGGCGGGCGGUGGCGCCCACGCCUCCGCUUAUCUGCGUCUAUGCAAUGGAGAACUAGGGUUGCAGACCAACUACACCCUGAGUUUAUUGGGCAAGGAUGGCCAAGUGUUUGUGCAACGGAGCAUAGAACAUACCUUCCAGUCCGCAGGUAUUUUUUGGGGCUUCGAGCACUUUGUCCAGAAGUCCAAGCUGCGACGGCUGCUAUCCGACAACGAGGACUGUGUAACGAUCAGGUGUGUUUUGACUGUCAUGAGGAAGCAUGACACUUUGGCCAUCCCGGCCCCGCCGUCGAAUCUGCAAGAGGAUUUUGCAAGGAUGUUGAAGGACCAGGAAGGCGCGGAUGUAACGUUCAUCGUGGGUGACAAAUCCUUCCGUGCUCAUAGACACGUGUUGGCGGCACGAUCACCGGCCUUGAGGGCAGAGCUUUUGGACCCGACAAAGGAGGACCCUACAAAACCCGUCAAGGUUGAUGACAUGGACCCCGUCAUCUUCGAGGCGCUUCUUUAUUUCAUGUACACGGAUACGCUCCCACAUGGUUGUGAUCUUGAGAAAAACGCAACGCUGCAACAUUUGUUCGUUGUCGGAGUUCGAUAUGGCCUGGACAGGCUAGCGACGAUGUGUGAAGGGAAACUAUGCCAAAACAUAAACGAGCAAACAGUGGCAACCNNNNNNNNNNCCCUAACUUUGGCAGAGUGGUAUGACCGCGUCCUUCUCAAAAAUGCUUGCAUCGCAUUUGUGUCGUCGCAGGAUGUGCUCGACGCCAUGAAGGAGACCAAUGGAUUCAAGCACCUCAUGACACGCUAUCCGGGGGUGAUGGUGGAUAUUUUGAAACAGAAUCUGCCGUCGUCAAUAGGGGUUCGCAAGCAGGUCGUACGGAUGCAGCGAGGCAGGACUCCUAUAUCACGCAACAUGAAGCGACGUGCCUCGCGAAUACGCCAUGCGGUUUUGCCCUCGGUUUGCGUCCUGGCGCUGGCCUUGGUUGGCUUCUGUAUUCCACAUCCACAGCGGCUCCUAACAAGCCAGCCCAUGCUUGGCUUCUUGUAG
Molecule: ribosomal RNA, 1260 nt
Filed under: Triticum aestivum (bread wheat)
Lineage: Eukaryota; Viridiplantae; Streptophyta; Magnoliopsida; Poales; Poaceae
Description: partial small subunit ribosomal RNA
Source: RNAcentral